GCUACAACCGCGCAGAUCAGGUUAUAAGAACUUGCUUUGAAAUUAGCAAGACACCUGCAAAUGGCGAGUCUUAGUUGAA
RNAcentral lists this small RNA (79 nucleotides) under uncultured Neobacillus sp. The record is from RNAcentral. Lineage: Bacteria; Bacillati; Bacillota; Bacilli; Caryophanales; Bacillaceae.